Molecule: transfer RNA, 74 nt
Filed under: Bacteroidota bacterium
Lineage: Bacteria; Pseudomonadati; Bacteroidota
Description: Bacteroidetes bacterium (groundwater metagenome) tRNA-Arg
Rfam family: tRNA
About the family: Transfer RNA (tRNA) molecules are approximately 80 nucleotides in length.
Source: RNAcentral
GGUCCUGUAGCUCAGCUGGAUAGAGCAACGGUUUUCUAAACCGUAGGUCCCUGGUUCGAAUCCAGGCGGGACUA